RNAcentral lists this ribosomal RNA (253 nucleotides) under uncultured bacterium. RNAcentral's name for it is "partial 16S ribosomal RNA". It matches the Rfam family "Bacterial small subunit ribosomal RNA", at positions 524 to 776 of the family's 1533-position model. The record is from RNAcentral.
UACGAAGGGUGCAAGCGUUACUCGGAAUUACUGGGCGUAAAGCGUGCGUAGGUGGUUCGUUAAGUCUGAUGUGAAAGCCCUGGGCUCAACUUGGGAAUGGCAUUGGAAACUGGCGACCUAGAGUGCGGUAGAGGGUAGUGGAAUUCCCGGUGUAGCAGUGAAAUGCGUAGAGAUCGGGAGGAACACCAGUGGCGAAGGCGACUACCUGGCCUGUUCUUGACGCUGAGGCGCGAAAGCUAGGGGAGCAAACCGG